AAUUAAAAAAUGAGAGACUCUGAGUGUCAUCAGCUUUGCUCCAUGUGGCUGCCUUGAUAAGAGUUCACUUUUCUCUGUGUCUUGAGAAAAUUUUUAUGAUUAAUGGAAGACAGAAUAUUAUCCAGUAUUAACAGUUAUUUUCCAAUUCUGUAUUAUAAAAUUAUUUCUGAUAAUGAAAAAUUCUCUAUUUCUUUAAAUUAUUUAAAACAUUGAAAGUCUACAGUGUAUAAAAGAAAGCACUGGAGUUCUGGAGAUGUGAGGCAGAAUACGAAGGUAAACAGGAAUCGUUAUUCCUUUUCUGAGAGGUAUGUAAUCUACAGGGGAAGCAGGCAGCACCUGAAAGGGGAGGAGAGGUUGGUGGGCCAUGCAGGGUUGAAGGAGGAGCAUAGGAACAUGGGUCUGGGAAAGUUUGGCUAUCUUUACAGUGCUCAAUUGAAAUACUACUUUGGAAUAUUUUCUCAACACCAGGGUUCUAGUUUGUUAGUCCUACUGAGACAUCAGGUCAGAAGAAAAGAACAAAAGUGAGAAGGCAUUCAUGGCUUUGCAUUCUCAGAAAGACAUCCUGCUGGUUCAACUGUGUAUGAUUGAGCAUAUUGUCAUUGAUGAAGAAUUUUUAUUUAUUUUUGAUCAAAGACUUCACCAUGUUUUCCUGAACUUUUCAAUCUCCUGUUUGCAGAGUUUUAACGUGAGCUCUCCUCGGGCCUGGGAGAAAUUCUGAGAAUGACCCCUGAGAAUGAGCUCAGUGGUGAGAAGUCCAAGGACAGGAUGAGGUCGACAUUGCAAGUGUUUUUGGAAUAAGAAUCAACACACUUAAAGACUGGGAUUUGGAAGUGAGAAGGAGUACAUUGAAGUGAUUCAGGAAAACAAGGAAAUGUGACACAAGUGGCAACAUUUGUCAAAGUUCUAUGCAUUUGUUCCUUUGGAUUCAAGUGAAACAUCUGGAGUCAAUUCUUAACCCAAUGUUGGUUUGUUGUCACCAACCUCUUUGCCCUGCUAUUGAGGGAAGAAAGAUAGAGGGCUGUCACCAGAAGCAAGGAACAGAGGAAGUAAAUUUCCAAAGGAUCUGGUAGAAGAAUUGGUCUAACUGUGUUCCUCAUGAGAAAAGUAUUCUGUUGGAGGACAUGUAAUAAAACAGCAGUCACAAGAUUUGAUUUAUUCACAGCUCUGAAAACUCUGGAAGACCAUGGGGAAGUUCCCUAACCUCCUUUGGGUAUUUCAUCUGAGCUGUUGGAGUUGCAUUACCUAAUCUCUCUGGUUCCUUGAAGCUGCCACAUUCAGUGAUUCUGUCUGUAUUCAAUGAUAGAUACAACA
Molecule: long non-coding RNA, 1311 nt
Organism: Camelus dromedarius (Arabian camel)
Lineage: Eukaryota; Metazoa; Chordata; Mammalia; Artiodactyla; Camelidae
Exons: 4
Source: RefSeq, a predicted model, not a curated record